RNAcentral lists this non-coding RNA (85 nucleotides) under Streptomyces sp. The record is from RNAcentral. Lineage: Bacteria; Bacillati; Actinomycetota; Actinomycetes; Kitasatosporales; Streptomycetaceae.
UCUUUGCUACCUUUGAAGGACCCGCCCGACGAGACGCGCCGUACCGGGACAGGCCCUUCGCGGGCUUACGACAAGACGACGCACC